Molecule: regulatory RNA element, 80 nt
Organism: Paenibacillus curdlanolyticus YK9
Lineage: Bacteria; Bacillati; Bacillota; Bacilli; Caryophanales; Paenibacillaceae
Rfam family: ZMP/ZTP riboswitch aptamer (pfl RNA motif)
About the family: Previously known as pfl RNA.
Source: Rfam
GAACCUGUGUGUUACUGGCGCGAACAUGGUGAACCAUGAGGGAGCGCACAGGAUAACAGCCGUACGCCUGGGCAAAGUAU